UUUCCUUUUCCUUCAAAUGAGGCUUUGUCUGUUUUCUCAGCUGGUGACAGUGGCAGUCUGUGCUGGAGCCAGUGAUGUUAUUGCCUUAUGAGGAACCCAAGUUACUCAGUUUUCACUGUGUAGGAAGACAGUUAACAGUCACUGAACAGCAGAAGCUUUCUGCUCAGGUGCUUGGCUUGGCCUCAAGAUUCUCACUGGCAAGGGACAUCUCUCUGUCAUUCUUAAUGGACAAUAGCAGCCCCAAGCCAAAGGUAGAAGUAUGUAAUGGUACUCACUGGAGCUUUUUUGAAGAACACUUCAAGG
This 303-nucleotide long non-coding RNA is filed under the name Gallus gallus (chicken). Lineage: Eukaryota; Metazoa; Chordata; Aves; Galliformes; Phasianidae. The record is from RNAcentral.